ACUGCGUGGCUGGCGAGAUGGUAACGCCAAGGCGGGGAGCAGCUUCACAGCUCAUCGCCCUCAGCCCAGCAACCGCCUGAGACCCGCCGUGCCCGUUCCAAGCGCUCACUGGCUGCCCGCUGCCUCUCUGCCAGGGGUGGGGAGCAGCGUGGGGGCUCCUCGGGGACCCACGGGCUUCCCUCCGCCAUCCUCCGAGGCGGCCUGUCCCCACACACACGUGUCUGGGAAAGUGCUGAGGUCGCAGUCAAAAAGUAUCGUCAAUGAAGAUCUGUCUGUGCAGCUAAAUAAAGCGCUCAUGGAGAAAGCUCUAAAUGAAGCAGUGAAUGAGCACCAUGUAACCAGACAGCUAUAAACCUUCAGCUGCAGACCUCUGACAGGAGUCUAUAGACCACCAGUUUGGGAGACCUCUGCUUUAAACCUCUAAAUGAUUCAACAUUUAUGUAAGUCAGACACAUUCCGGUUUUAUGUAGCUAAAUCAUUUUAAAGCCAUGUUCAUUGUAAUGCUAAAAUGUCCAGCCACUAUAUGAACUGUUUACUAAUGCAAAUUGUCUCUCUAAUAAUUAAGUAAUAAAAAUGGGAAGGGUAUGUGAGCUAUAAACA
Molecule: long non-coding RNA, 600 nt
Filed under: Calidris pugnax (ruff)
Lineage: Eukaryota; Metazoa; Chordata; Aves; Charadriiformes; Scolopacidae
Description: lncRNA (ENSCPUG00000001829.1)
Source: RNAcentral